Molecule: ribosomal RNA, 465 nt
Filed under: uncultured bacterium
Lineage: Bacteria
Description: partial 16S ribosomal RNA
Rfam family: Bacterial small subunit ribosomal RNA
Source: RNAcentral
GACGAACGCUGGCGGCGUGCUUAACACAUGCAAGUCGUACGGUAAGGCCCUUUCGGGGGUACACGAGUGGCGAACGGGUGAGUAACACGUGAGUAACCUGCCCACAACUUUUGGAUAACGCUAGGAAACUGGUGCUAAUACUGGAUAUGUGCUCCUGCUGCAUGGUGGGGGUUGGAAAGCUCCGGCGGUUGUGGAUGGACUCGCGGCCUAUCAGCUUGUUGGUGGGGUAGUGGCCUACCAAGGCGGCGACGGGUAGCCGGCCUGAGAGGGUGACCGGCCACAUUGGGACUGAGAUACGGCCCAGACUCCUACGGGAGGCAGCAGUGGGGAAUAUUGCACAAUGGGCGCAAGCCUGAUGCAGCAACGCCGCGGGCGGGAUGACGGCCUUCGGGUUGUAAACCGCUUUCAGCAGGGACGAAGCUUUUUGUGACGGUACCUGCAGAAGAAGCACCGGCUAACUACGUG